RNAcentral lists this transfer RNA (75 nucleotides) under Siphoviridae sp. ctOVO10. RNAcentral describes it as "tRNA-Met". It matches the Rfam family "tRNA". Rfam says of the family: Transfer RNA (tRNA) molecules are approximately 80 nucleotides in length. Their secondary structure includes four short double-helical elements and three loops (D, anti-codon, and T loops). The record is from RNAcentral. RNAcentral also lists the same sequence under 1 other name. Lineage: Duplodnaviria; Heunggongvirae; Uroviricota; Caudoviricetes.
CAGAGUGGAGCAGUCUGGUAGCUCGUCGGGUUCAUAACCCGAAGGUCGGUGGUUCGAAUCCAUCCUCUGUAUCCA